GACGAACGCUGGCGGCGUGCUUAACACAUGCAAGUCGAACGGAAAGGCCCUGCUUUUGUGGGGUGCUCGAGUGGCGAACGGGUGAGUAACACGUGAGUAACCUGCUCUUGACUUUGGGAUAACUUCAGGAAACUGGGGCUAAUACCGGAUAGGAGCUCCUGCUGCAUGGUGGGGGUUGGAAAGUUUCGGCGGUUGGGGAUGGACUCGCGGCUUAUCAGCUUGUUGGUGGGGUAGUGGCUUACCAAGGCUUUGACGGGUAGCCGGCCUGAGAGGGUGACCGGCCACAUUGGGACUGAGAGACGGCCCAGACUCCUACGGGAGGCAGCAGUGGGGAAUAUUGCACAAUGGGCGGAAGCCUGAUGCAGCAACGCCGCGUGCUGGAUGACGGCCUUCGGGUUGUAAGCCGCUUUCGCCUGUGACGAAGCGUGAGUGACGGUAAUGGGUAAAGAAGCACCGGCUAACUACGUG
Molecule: ribosomal RNA, 468 nt
Filed under: uncultured bacterium
Lineage: Bacteria
Description: partial 16S ribosomal RNA
Rfam family: Bacterial small subunit ribosomal RNA
Source: RNAcentral